ACUUUGGUAGCUCAGGAGUCAGAGCGUAGGUCUCAUGAGCCUAAGGUCGCGUGUGCGAAUCAAGUCCAAAGUA
Molecule: non-coding RNA, 73 nt
Organism: Tritrichomonas musculus
Lineage: Eukaryota; Parabasalia; Tritrichomonadida; Tritrichomonadidae
Source: the annotation of a GenBank genome assembly